This is a long non-coding RNA of Oncorhynchus tshawytscha (Chinook salmon), 1474 nucleotides long. NCBI's taxonomy places the organism in Eukaryota, Metazoa, Chordata, Actinopteri, Salmoniformes, Salmonidae. The record is from Ensembl.
CUCAAAGCCUGUUCAAUAACAUACAAGAAAGAACGUUUUGGGUAAAUGUGUCGUUCAGUACAAACCGUUCAGCAACUUAGCAAACAUUCAAGUGAACUGAACGCACCUUAGGUUUAGAGUCUUUUUGUGUGCAUGCACCUUUGAUAAAUGAGGCCCCUGGACUGGGAAAUGCUCAUCUAACUACAUUUUUUUUGUUGCAAUUAUUGGAAAUUCAGAAUAAGUGUGCUGUAUUUACAUAGAGAUCAUCAGAUGCAACAGAGCAUGCCCAGCUUUACAAGACAAAUUGACAGCACAGGCAAAACAGUGAGCAAUGACGCACUAUUUGACUUAUUUCUAGGUUCUACUUCUUCUUUCUGUCUUUGUUCUGUCUAGUCCAUCCACAGUAUCGCUCCAUCAGCAUGGUUUUACCCCUGUUUUGUAUGACCAACUUUUUAAUAAGAUUAUCAUUUUUUCAGAAGGGAGUUAUAGGUACUGGUAUAACAUUGAAAUCAUAUUCAUCCCGUUACAUUCAUUCAGUUGUAGUAUUUGCAUUUCACAUUGAAUCAUUUCCUGUACCUGUGAGAAACCACUCGAAAAAAGAAAAACAAUCAGAGAAAUGCAUACUGAGACAGAGAACAGCAUUAACAGUUUUGUAAUAUUCUGUAUGUAAGGGAAAUAAACAAAAAAGGCUUCCCCAACCCAUUCCCCCCAACCCCCUCAGUCCCCUUCAGGUGUGUUCUCUGAGAACCAUCAUGAGUCAACAGGUGAGAUAGAAGUCAAGGCUUAUCUCUGUCUGUCUUCAAGCUCAGCAGCAAUGUUAACAGACAUUCUUUGUUUACACUGCCCUGACGUGCACACACUUGUCAUUUUGAAACCUGAGAUUCUAAGUGGCAACAAGGGUUUUUCACAGUAUCCAAAACUUUGAGAAUCUGUGAUUUUAUUUGACCAAUUGUAAAUUGUGUAAACUCCUCACCUGGAUUAAAACAUAACGUAAGGACCUGUGAUAGGCACAAAUCUUUUAUGAGCACCUCUUUUAUCCUAGCCGCAAAUUUGAAUUAAGCUUCAAGUAUUCUGUAGAAAGACCUUAGCAGUCAUACGGACAGAGACUCAACAAGAGUAUAUCUUCCAAAAACCUUUUUACGACGGUGGAGGAGCACAAACAUGGCUGCAUAGUGGCUUCAAACCAGCCCCUGGGACGAAUCUAAGGUUUAUACUCAUCGUUGCCUCCAUCCCAUCUGUAAUAACCCUUGUGUGAAUGAGAGCAUAUUGGUGGUGUGAGGAGCCUGUAGCACUCACUUCACCAUAUAGGCCUGUUUGUUGAUUGUCCAACAUUCAUAUCUAGUUAUAUUUUGCCAUGUAGGCUAUAAGGGCCAAGUGGGCUACUGGGAUAGGUCAUCAUUUUUUAAGAUGCAUUUUAUUUACAGUAGGCUAACAAUGACCAGAUCUGAUCUGUGGUCAAGCCACACCACAAGCAUAACAUCUCUAGGCUAUAGGC